RNAcentral lists this ribosomal RNA (672 nucleotides) under uncultured Sphingomonas sp. RNAcentral's name for it is "bacterial SSU rRNA". It matches the Rfam family "Bacterial small subunit ribosomal RNA", at positions 18 to 744 of the family's 1533-position model. The record is from RNAcentral. Lineage: Bacteria; Pseudomonadati; Pseudomonadota; Alphaproteobacteria; Sphingomonadales; Sphingomonadaceae.
UCUCACGAAUAACGAACGCUGGCGGCAUGCUCAAUACAUGUCAGUCGAACGAGAUCUUCGCAUCUAGUGGCGCACGGGUGCGUAACGCGUGGGAAUCUGCCCUUGGGUUCGGAAUAACUUCUGGAAACGGAAGCUAAUACCGGAUGAUGACGUAAGUCCAAAGAUUUAUCGCCCAAGGAUGAGCCCGCGUAGGAUUAGGUAGUAGGUGAGGUAAAGGCUCACCAAGCCGACGAUCCUUAGCUGGUCUGAGAGGAUGAUCAGCCGCUCUGGGACUGAGACACGGCCCAGACUCCUACGGGAGGCAUCAGUAGGGAAUAUUGGACAAUGGGCGAAAGCCUGAUCCAGCAAUGCCGCGUGAGUGAUGAAUGCCUUAGGGUUGUAAAGCUCUUUUACCCGGGGUGAUAAUGACAGUACCGGGAGAAUAAUCUCCGGCUAACUCCGUGCCAAAAGCCGCGGUAAUACGGAGGGAGCUAGCGUUGUUCGGAAUUACUUGGGCGUAUAGCGCACGUAGGCGGGUAUUCAAGUCAGAGGUGAAAGCCCGGGGCUCAAACCCGGAACUGCCUUUGAAACUAGAUAGCUUGAAUCCAGGAGAGGUGAGUGGAAACCGAGUGUAAGGUGGCAUCGUAGAUAUCGGAAGACGCCAGUGGCGACGCGGUCAUGGAUGGGAUUGAA